RNAcentral lists this ribosomal RNA (253 nucleotides) under uncultured bacterium. RNAcentral describes it as "partial 16S ribosomal RNA". It matches the Rfam family "Bacterial small subunit ribosomal RNA", at positions 524 to 776 of the family's 1533-position model. The record is from RNAcentral.
UACGAAGGGGGCUAGCGUUUUUCGGAAUUACUGGGCGUAAAGCGCGUGUAGGCGGGUCGUUAAGUCGGGGGUGAAAGCCCAGAGCUCAACUCUGGAACUGCCUUCGAUACUGGCGACCUGGACCCAAGGAGAGGCGAGUGGAAUUCCGAGUGUAGAGGUGAAAUUCGUAGAUAUUCGGAGGAACACCAGUGGCGAAGGCGACUCGCUGGACUUGUGGUGACGCUGAGACGCGAAAGCGUGGGGAGCAAACAGG